This 253-nucleotide ribosomal RNA is filed under the name uncultured bacterium. Its description in RNAcentral is "partial 16S ribosomal RNA". It matches the Rfam family "Bacterial small subunit ribosomal RNA", at positions 524 to 776 of the family's 1533-position model. The record is from RNAcentral.
UACGUAGGGGGCAAGCGUUGUCCGGAAUCAUUGGGCGUAAAGAGCGCGUAGGCGGUCCGGUAAGUCCGCUCUGAAAGUCCGGGGCUCAACCCCGGGAGGCGGGCGGAUACUGUCGGGCUAGAGUCCGGAAGAGGCAAGUGGAAUUCCUGGUGUAGCGGUGAAAUGCGCAGAUAUCAGGAGGAACACCAAUGGCGAAGGCAGCUCGCUGGGACGGUACUGACGCUGAGGCGCGAAAGCGUGGGGAGCAAACAGG